UCUCUUUUUCUUAAUUAGAUGCUUAUUACCAUUUCACCCUUCUUCCUACCCUUUUAUAUACCAACCAAAACCGAACCUUCCCUUCACUUUCUCACACACAAGCAUUACCCAUAAUUAUCUUCUUAAUUUGUUUCUACACAAGCAUCCACAUAUCACAGAACAUAGACAAAGAGAGUAAAAUCAGAAAGCAGAGCAAAGCAAAAACCACAAGGCAGACGCAGAGAAAGAGAGUAAAAUCAGAAAGCAGAGCAAAAACCACAAGGCAGCUCAAAAAUCAGCAGACUCAGUAAUUUGUGAGCGAGCACAUAGUAAUUCUUCUUCCUUCAGUUGAGUUUUUUUAAGUAGGUAGAAUUUUUUUACAUUUUAAAUUUAGAUUCUUCUAAA
RNAcentral lists this long non-coding RNA (384 nucleotides) under Trifolium pratense (red clover). RNAcentral describes it as "long non-coding RNA (TPRA_LNC004778)". Lineage: Eukaryota; Viridiplantae; Streptophyta; Magnoliopsida; Fabales; Fabaceae. The record is from RNAcentral.